This 253-nucleotide ribosomal RNA is filed under the name uncultured bacterium. RNAcentral describes it as "partial 16S ribosomal RNA". It matches the Rfam family "Bacterial small subunit ribosomal RNA", at positions 524 to 776 of the family's 1533-position model. The record is from RNAcentral.
UACGUAGGUGACAAGCGUUAUCCGGAAUUACUGGGCGUAAAGCGCACGCAGGCGGCGCUUUAAGUCUGACGUGAAAUCUCCUGGCUUAACUGGGAGGGGUCGUUGGAGACUGAUGUGCUUGAGGCGAUGAGAGGGGUGUAGAAUUCCCGGUGUAGUGGUGGAAUGCGUAGAUAUCGGGAGGAAUACCAGUGGCGAAAGCGACACCCUGGCAUUAGACUGACGCUCAUGUACGAAGGCGUGGGGAGCGAACGGG